UACAGCAAGGGGGUCAGGUUAUCCUUAGAUGUAUACAUUGCAGUUACAGUUUUUUCCCCCACCCUUUCUUCUGUUGCAACAUGAGUAUCUAGACAAAGUUCUCAAUGCUAUUCAGCAGGAUCUCCUUGUAAAUCUAUUCUAGGUUGUGUCUGAUAAGCCCAAGCUCCCAAUCCCUCCCACUCCCUCCCCCUCCAAAGAACCUCCAUACUGUUUUGCAUUGCAGUUGUACCAGUUUACAUUCUCGCCAACAGUAUGGAAGAUUCCCUUUCUCCACACCCUCUAUAGCAUUUAUUGUUUGUAGACUUUUUGAUGAUAGCCAUUCUGACUGGUGUUAGAUGGUACCUCACUGUAGUUUUGAUUCACAUUUCUCUAAUAAUUAGGGAUGUUGAGAAAUAUGCUUUCACUAGCUCCUACAUGAUUUCAGUUCUGGAGACUGCAGAGGGACAAAAGUUUAAGCUCCAUAGCAGUCUUUUGAAGUAUAUAUGUAUCUUAAACAGAAAUAGAUUUGAUAUAUUAAUCUGUAGUAAUGUGAAUUGUCUGUUUUUUGAUAAGAAAUAGAUUUAUUAAGAUAGGAUGCUUCUGAGAGAUGAAAGCAGGCAGGAAAGGAGGUUCUGCCCCAAGGCUUAGGUGGGCUACAGUUUUAUCGUCCAAGGGCAGUCUGAACUGUGGUUUUUACAACACUAAAUAUAGAGGUUUACAUUUUAAUAUUUCCAAGCAAUAGCAAGUACCAAAUUUAUUUCAUAAACUUAAAUUCAGCAUUUAUCUUUCUUACCUAUUACUAACAUGUAAACAUUUUUGUUAUAUAUGGAAAUUACUGUUCAGAACAUUGAAAUAAUAACUAAAGUUUGUAAAGGACAUAAUUUAAUCUUUGUGGCUGUAAAUGUGCUGCAAUUCUCACAAAGUUGAUGUUCUAACAUGACAUGAUUUAUGACGUGACAGUUUGAAAGGGCACAAUAGUUUUUUUCUGUAAAAAUAUUAGUUCAAAUUUAUUAAAACAUCCCACUCCCUCUCACUCCCCCUUGGCAACCACAAGUCUGUUCUCCAAGUCCAUGAGUUUCUUUUCUGUGGAAAGUUUCAUUUGUGCCAUAUAUUAGAUUUGAGAUAUAAGUGAUAUAAUUAAAAAGAAAACUGCUUACUUAUCAAUUCAAAUUAUCCCCCAAACUGCUUACCUAUCAAUUCAAAUUUUCCCAUUACUUUUGCAAGGACAUUAAUUUUGCAAGGCCAUUACUUUUGCCUUUUACCAAUGACAUAUAUGUUCCACUAUAAUAAUCAUAUAUCAUUUCCUAGUGUGCCAAUUUCUGGUAAAUACUACUUUUGAUUGAAGCAUUCUAUUCAUGCAGUGUUCAUGAAGUGGGGGUGGGGAUUUCUGUGUAGAACAUCGUUUCACUUAAUGAAAGAAAUAUUUGGCUAUGUUAUUUCUACCUUAAUUUAUAUCCCAUUAUCUUUUUAAUUUUUUUAUUAAAGUGUAGUUGAUUUACAAUGUUGUGUCAAUUUCUUCUGUACAUCAAAGUGACCCAUAGUGUAUACACACACACACACACACACACACACACACACACAUGUUCUUUUCUCAUAUUAUUUUCCAUCAUAUUCUAUCACAGGAGAUUGGAUAUAGUUCCCUGUGGUAUACAGUAGGACUGCAUUGCUUAUACUUUUGUGUCCUAUUCUCCUAGUAUCUAUUCCACCUGCCACAGUCUCUUCUGGGCCACCAGGCACCUAAGUUCCUCAUUCUUGCUGAUGCUCUUACUGUAUCUUGUAAGGAAUGAAACUUGUUCAUUCAUCAUCUUACUUUUUAAUCCUUAUGGCCAUCUAAUUUAGAUGGUAUUCUUUAUCUCUGAAGCUAAAUAUAAACAGUCAAAUACAGGAUGUUGUUUGGAAAGAAAGGUAUCUCUUGAUUGGCAAAGGCAAUGGAUAAAUGCAUCCACAUUAAAUAUAGAGGCAGGGACAGUGGCCUUGGCCUUGAGAACUUGAGAAAGUGGAAAGGUUAAAAGAUGAAACAGGAGUUCCCGUCGUGGCGCAGUGGUUAACGAAUCCGACUAGGAACCAUGAGGUCGCGGGUUCGAUCCCUGCCCUUGCUCAGUGGGUUAACGAUCCGGCGUUGCCGUGAGCUGUGGUGUAGGUCGCAGACGCGGCUCGGAUCCCGAGUUGCUGUGGCUCUGGCGUAGGCCGGUGGCUACAGCUCCGAUUCGACCCCUAGCCUGGGAACCUCCAUAUGCCGCUGAAGCGGCCCAAGAGAUAGCAACAACAACAACAACAAAAAAAAAAGACAAAAAGACAAAAGAUGAAACAGGAAAAAAAAUGCCUCCUAAACCUAAUUAUAUACUUUUCCUUUCUUUUCCGACUGAAGGGGUGAUUAGGAAUAGAGAUAGAAACGACAGAGAUACAGACAUAAUUUUCACAAAAGAUUACUUUGUGCAGUGAAAAGUGAAAUGUGUUAUUUGUAAAUGCAAAUUGAACUUACCUCAUCACAGGGACAUAAAAUUCAUGGUGUUGCUAUAGUUCAAGGUUUGUUCACUGAGCUGCCUUGACAAUAUUCACCUUCUGUAAAUCUCUAAAAAAUAUACUCAAUCCUCAGGCAAAUGCCUUACACAUUUUGUUUUACAGGAGAUCUUGGUACAAGCCAAAGAAAAGUUACCUCUUGAGUCUUGAAUAGGGAGCAUAAAACAAUAUAUAUGGACAAUCAGAAAUGUAGUUGUAUCACAGGACAUUUACUUAAAUGAAAUGAACUUACGUAAUAACAACACAAGGGACACAAUCAUAAAUAUAGUAGAUUCAGCCAGCAAUUAUGCUUAAACAGAGUGUGCUCUGGGAAUGACUGCAGGAUGGGAAAUCCAGCUUUCCUUUUUUUGGUCUUAAUACUGGUACCAACAUCAUUGAGAGUGACUCUAGUUCUUCAAAACGUAUAAGUUUGUUUUUUUUUUUUAAAUCAGAUGGAUUGUAAAUUCAAACCAACCAUCUCAUCCAGUAUUCAUGUGAAGGAAAAACAAAACAAAAUAAAAAUACCCUCUCUGAUCCAAUACUGGAGAAAAUAUGGCUUUGUCAGACUGAAUUACAAAUAUGUAUCUCCCACAAAAAGUUGGGCUAGGUGACUGUCAAGGCUCAUUCUGACCAUGCAUGACUUUCAUCUUUUGAGCUGAUUUUAAGACCUAUUCCUAGGAGAACUUAUAUACUGAUAUUCCACAUGGUAGUAUAGGUCCUGAGGAAUUCUUAAGGUUGUUUUGAGGGCCAUAGAGUAAAAAACCACUCUAAAAGAAAAAACUGUCAACCAGAAGGACCAAAUCUUUUCAGUACUUUAUUACUAAUAAAAUUCCUAAUAAUAUGUGCAGAAACCAUGAUGCUGAAACACUGCAUUUGCAAACAAGCCAAUGGUAGAGAUAUGCUGUUAUAUAUUUAACUGCAUUGAAUUCAUGCCUACUUUUUAAGCUUCAAGCUUUUGGACAUUCUUAAGAAGACACAUUAACAUUGAUAUUAUGGGACAUCAAUAAUGAGAAAAUUACCUGGUUUAUGGUGUUCAUUUAAGUGAUAAUGACCUAGGCAAUUCAUUAAGAUAAUUUUAUGAAGGAAUAUGCUGUCCUUUCUGUGGAAAGGUUCAUUUGUGCUGUAUAUUAGAUACCAGAUAUGAGUGAUAUCAUAUGGUAUUUUUCUUUCUCUUUCUGACUUCACUCAGUAUGAGUCUCUAGUUCCAUCCAUGUUGCUACAAAUGACAUUAUGUCAUCUUUUUUUAUGGCUGAGUAGGACUCCAUUGUGUAUAUAUACCACAUCUUCCUAAUCCAAUCAUCUGCUAGUGGACAUUUGGGUUCAUUCCAUGUCUUGGCUAUUGUGAACAGUGUUUCAAUGAACAUGUGGGGGCAUGUGUCUUUUUUAAGGAAAGUUUUGUCUAGAAAAAUGCCCAAGAGUGGUAUUGCUGGAUCAUAUGGUAGUUCUAUGUAUAGAUUUCUGAGGUACCUCCAUACCCUUCUCCAUAGUGGCUGUACCAGCUUACAUUCCCAUCAACAGUGCAGGAAGGUUCCCUUUUCUUCACACCCCCUCCAGCAUUUGUUAUUUGUGAACUUAUUAAUGAUGGCCAUUCUGACUGUGUGAGGUGGUAUCUCAUGGUAGUUUUGAUUUGCCUUUUCUAAUAAUCAGGGAUGUUGAGCAUUUUUUCAUGUGCUUGUUGCCCAUCUGUAUAUCUUCUUUGGAAAAAUGUCUAUUCAGGUCUUUUGCUCAUUUUUCCAUUGGGUUGUUGGUUUUUUUUUUUUGCUGUUGAGUUGUAUAAGUCGUUUGUAUAUUUUGGAGAUUAAGCCCUUGUCAGUUGCAUUGAUUUGAAACUAUUUUCUCCCGUUCCGUAAGUUGUAUUUUUGGUUUCCUUUGCUGUGCAAAAGCUUUUCAGUUUGAUUAGGUCCCAUUGGUUUGUUUUUGCUUUUAUUUCUGAUGCUUUGGGUGACUGACCUGAGAAAACAUUUGUAAGGUUGAUGUCAGAGAGUGUUUUGCCUAUGUUCUCUUCUAGGAGUUUGAUGGUGUCUUGUCUUAUAUUUAAGUCUUUAAGCCAUUUUGAGUUUAUUUUGGUGCAUGGUGUGAGGGUGUGUUCUAGUUUCAUUGCUUUGCAUGCAGGUGUCCAGGUUUCCCAGCAAUACUUGCUGAAUAGACCGUCUUUUUCCAAUUUAAGUUCUUGCCUCCUUUGUCAAAGAUUAAUUGACCAUAGGUGUCAGGGUUUAUUUCUGGGUUCUCUAUUCUGUUCCAUUGCCCUGUCUGUAUGUUUUGAUACCAGUACCACACUGUCUUGAUUGUGGCUUUGUUAUAUUGCUUGAGUUCUGGGAGAGUUAUGCCUCCUGCUUGGUUUUUGUUUCUCAGGAUUGCUUUGGCAAUUCUGCGUCUUUUGUGGUUCCAUAUAA
RNAcentral lists this long non-coding RNA (4871 nucleotides) under Sus scrofa (pig). RNAcentral describes it as "lncRNA (ENSSSCG00000057462.1, ENSSSCG00105003013.1, ENSSSCG00160029825.1)". Lineage: Eukaryota; Metazoa; Chordata; Mammalia; Artiodactyla; Suidae. The record is from RNAcentral.